Non-coding RNA from Rattus norvegicus (Norway rat), 300 nucleotides. The record is from Rfam. Lineage: Eukaryota; Metazoa; Chordata; Mammalia; Rodentia; Muridae.
GAAUGUGAAGCCCAUCUGGCUGUGACAUCUGUUGCUUGACAAGGCUGAAUCAGUUGAUCUGGCUAGAUAGGCUAGUGGCCCACUCCUCACUCACUGUUCCAUGUGUAUCCUUGAAGCUGCUUGUUCGGUGGAAGAUGACUGAACAGCUUUUUCCAAAUACUAAGGCAUUGUUCCGUGAAGAGCAUGUAAGUUUAUGCCUUCCUCCACUAGAACUUCCAAACCAGCUUCGAGGUCCAGAAUAGCAAAAGCACUUUUGGAAACCUGGACAAGUUGGAAUAUUCACUUCUAAUUUCAGACCUU